GAGUGUUACAGCUUUUUUAGAAUUUGUCUAGUAGGAUUUCUGGUUUUUUCUGGAAGACGCCU
Molecule: small nuclear RNA, 62 nt
Filed under: Procavia capensis (Cape rock hyrax)
Lineage: Eukaryota; Metazoa; Chordata; Mammalia; Hyracoidea; Procaviidae
Description: U7 small nuclear RNA (ENSPCAG00000020311.1)
Rfam family: U7 small nuclear RNA
About the family: Animal histone pre-mRNAs are spliced by a different mechanism than nuclear pre-mRNAs and self-splicing introns. This processing involves the U7 snRNP, which contains only one RNA species: U7.
Source: RNAcentral